Long non-coding RNA from Thunnus maccoyii (southern bluefin tuna), 310 nucleotides. RefSeq lists it as uncharacterized. NCBI's taxonomy places the organism in Eukaryota, Metazoa, Chordata, Actinopteri, Scombriformes, Scombridae. The record is from RefSeq and is a predicted model, not a curated record. The transcript is spliced from 2 exons.
GACAUCAAAGCCCUUUUGGAGGAUGAAGGAGAGAGCUCUGCAUUAUCACAUCCACUCUGUUUUACUCUAUAAAGACACCACUUUCAGAGAUCCUGAAUAAUUAAGGCCGUCUAAGAGUAGCUCUCUAAUAAAAGGAUCCCUGCCAGCCUGCUUGCCAGCCUGUCUGCUCAUCCGCCUGCUCAUUCGUUCUCCCUCACAACCUCCCGUCAACCACACCACCUUGCCAACUCCAUUCCUCCUGCCCUCUCCAGCCAUCCCCGGUCAUCUCGUCCCCUUUUGAAGUACAUUACAAUAAAUCCCUCAAACGUCA